Molecule: transfer RNA, 79 nt
Filed under: Salinigranum rubrum
Lineage: Archaea; Methanobacteriati; Methanobacteriota; Halobacteria; Halobacteriales; Haloferacaceae
Description: tRNA-Gly
Rfam family: tRNA
About the family: Transfer RNA (tRNA) molecules are approximately 80 nucleotides in length. Their secondary structure includes four short double-helical elements and three loops (D, anti-codon, and T loops).
Source: RNAcentral
GGAAGGGUGGCUCAGUGGUAGAGCACACCGGGUCCGCCGGUGAAUUUGGCUUCGCGUGGUUCGACUCCCGCCCCUUCCA